GCGAGAGGUCCCGUCCGCCCCAGCCGCGUCUGGGCCAGGAGGAAAG
Molecule: non-coding RNA, 46 nt
Filed under: Pongo abelii (Sumatran orangutan)
Lineage: Eukaryota; Metazoa; Chordata; Mammalia; Primates; Hominidae
Source: RNAcentral